GCCCUCUUAGCUCAGUGGUAGAGCGCGUCACUCGUACUUUCUGUACAUGACGAGGUCAGUCGUUCAAGUCGGCUAGGGGGCA
Molecule: non-coding RNA, 82 nt
Organism: Termitomyces sp. T32_za158
Lineage: Eukaryota; Fungi; Basidiomycota; Agaricomycetes; Agaricales; Lyophyllaceae
Source: the annotation of a GenBank genome assembly